This is a non-coding RNA of Danio rerio (zebrafish), 382 nucleotides long. The record is from RefSeq and is a predicted model, not a curated record. NCBI's taxonomy places the organism in Eukaryota, Metazoa, Chordata, Actinopteri, Cypriniformes, Danionidae.
UUUGUAUUUUUCCUUUGUUAAACUUUUCUUUCUUUUGUAGGUUCUGUUUUGGAUUUGCUUUACCAUCAGUGGCCACUGGGUUCCCUGCACUGUGUGGAUGGCGGUGGAGAAAAGGUGGUUGGGAUUGUGUGGUGAUUUGGUCACUGUUGAUUUUUGUGUUUUUUAGGUUGCAGUGUGAUUGCUGUGAGCUGAGUGUGGUGAAAACACUGCUGCUUGGGUACCUCAUCUGUCCUCACUUUCUGGGUAACCGGUGGCCAUUAGUGGUUUGUUUUUUUCUUUUCUUUUAUUUAGUUUAUUUACUUUUUUUCCUCCUUAUUUGCAAUAAAGAUGGAGACAAUUUGUAUAUUACAACUUGUGGAAUAAAAUAUAAUUGUCCUCCUAA